UGGGGAAUAUUGCGCAAUGGGCGAAAGCCUGACGCAGCGACGCCGCGUGAGGGAUGAAGGCUUUCGGAUCGUAAACCUCUGUCAGAAGGGAAGAAACCGCACUGUGCUAAUCAGCAGUGCCUUGACGGUACCUUCAAAGGAAGCACCGGCUAACUCCGUGCCAGCAGCCGCGGUAAUACGGAGGGUGCAAGCGUUAAUCGGAAUUACUGGGCGUAAAGCGCACGUAGGCUGCUUUGUAAGUCAGGGGUGAAAUCCCACGGCUCAACCGUGGGACUGCCUUUGAUACUGCUUAGCUUGAAGCCGGGGGAGGGUGGCGGAAUUCCAGGGGUAGGAGUGAAAUCCGUAGAUAUCUGGGGGAACAUCAGUGGCGAAGGCGGCCACCUGGACCGGUAUUGACGCUGAGGUGCGAAAGCGUUGGGAGCAAACAGG
This 429-nucleotide ribosomal RNA is filed under the name Fusobacteriota bacterium. RNAcentral's name for it is "Fusobacteria bacterium partial 16S ribosomal RNA". It matches the Rfam family "Bacterial small subunit ribosomal RNA", at positions 355 to 776 of the family's 1533-position model. Lineage: Bacteria; Fusobacteriati; Fusobacteriota. The record is from RNAcentral.